AGCAGCCGCGGUAAUUCCAGCUCCAAUAGCGUAUAUUAAAGUUGUUGCAGUUAAAAAGCUCGUAGUUGAAUUUCGGGGUCAGUAGGUUGGUCAUGCCUCCGGUAUGUACUGGUCUCACUGAUUCCUCCUUCCUGAUGAGCCGUAAUGCCAUUAAUUUGGUGUUGCGGGGAAUUUGGACUGUUACUUUGAAAAAAUUAGAGUGUUUAAAGCAAGCUAACGCUUGAAUACAUUAGCAUGGAAUAAUGAAAUAGGACGUUCGAUCCUAUUUUGUUGGUUUCUAGGAUUGACGUAAUGAUUAAUAGGGAUAGUUGGGGGCAUUAGUAUUCAAUU
RNAcentral lists this ribosomal RNA (330 nucleotides) under uncultured Glomus. Its description in RNAcentral is "SSU rRNA". It matches the Rfam family "Eukaryotic small subunit ribosomal RNA", at positions 569 to 903 of the family's 1831-position model. The record is from RNAcentral. Lineage: Eukaryota; Fungi; Glomeromycota; Glomeromycetes; Glomerales; Glomeraceae.